Molecule: ribosomal RNA, 331 nt
Filed under: uncultured cyanobacterium
Lineage: Bacteria; Bacillati; Cyanobacteriota
Description: bacterial SSU rRNA
Rfam family: Bacterial small subunit ribosomal RNA
Source: RNAcentral
UGACGUGUACCUGAAGAAUAAGCAUCGGCUAACUCCGUGCCAGCAGCCGCGGUAAGACGGAGGAUGCAAGUGUUAUCCGGAAUCACUGGGCGUAAAGCGUCUGUAGGUGGUUUAAUAAGUCAACUGUUAAAUCUUGAAGCUCAACUUCAAAAUCGCAGUCGAAACUAUUAGACUAGAGUAUAGUAGGGGUAAAGGGAAUUUCCAGUGGAGCGGUGAAAUGCGUAGAUAUUGGGAAGAACACCGAUGGCGAAGGCACUUUACUGGGCUAUUACUGACACUCAGAGACGAAAGCUAGGGUAGCAAAUGGGAUUAGAUACCCCAGUAGUCCUAG